This is a long non-coding RNA of Actinia tenebrosa (Australian red waratah sea anemone), 199 nucleotides long. The record is from RefSeq and is a predicted model, not a curated record. NCBI's taxonomy places the organism in Eukaryota, Metazoa, Cnidaria, Anthozoa, Actiniaria, Actiniidae.
AGACGCGCACCCACAUGCUUUCUUUCUCUUUGCGUUGAACAAGAUGGGACACUCAAACGUGUGGUUCAGUCAUUCUCGUACUUACGGCGCUGGCUCGCGAUCCUGCCGUGUGUGCUUCAACCACCAUGGUCUUAUUCGCAAAUAUGGUUUAAAUAUCUGCCGUAGAUGUUUCAGGCAGUAUGCCAAAGAUAUUGGCUUC